CAGUCGCCGCGGUAAUACGAAGGGGGCUAGCGUUGCUCGGAAUUACUGGGCGUAAAGGGCGCGUAGGCGGACAGUUCAGUCGGGGGUGAAAGCCCGGGACUCAACCUCGGAAUUGCCUUCGAUACUGGCUGUCUUGAGUAUGAGAGAGGUGUGUGGAACUCCGAGUGUAGAGGUGAAAUUCGUAGAUAUUCGGAAGAACACCAAUGGCGAAGGCGACACACUGGCUCAUUACUGACGCUGAGGCGCGAAAGCGUGGGGAGCAAACAGGAUUAGAUACCCCUGUAGUCCCUGUCUCUUAUAC
This 301-nucleotide ribosomal RNA is filed under the name uncultured bacterium. RNAcentral describes it as "partial 16S ribosomal RNA". It matches the Rfam family "Bacterial small subunit ribosomal RNA", at positions 509 to 807 of the family's 1533-position model. The record is from RNAcentral.